GGCGUCGUACCCAAGUGGUUUAAGGGAACGGUUUGCAAAACCGUCUUUCGUCGGUUCGAAUCCGACCGACGCCU
This 74-nucleotide transfer RNA is filed under the name Fidelibacterota bacterium. RNAcentral's name for it is "tRNA-Cys". It matches the Rfam family "tRNA". Rfam says of the family: Transfer RNA (tRNA) molecules are approximately 80 nucleotides in length. Their secondary structure includes four short double-helical elements and three loops (D, anti-codon, and T loops). Further hydrogen bonds mediate the characteristic L-shaped molecular structure. tRNAs have two regions of fundamental functional importance: the anti-codon, which is responsible for specific mRNA codon recognition, and the 3' end, to which the tRNAs corresponding amino acid is attached (by aminoacyl-tRNA synthetases). tRNAs cope with the degeneracy of the genetic code in two manners: having more than one tRNA (with a specific anti-codon) for a particular amino acid; and 'wobble' base-pairing, i.e. permitting non-standard base-pairing at the 3rd anti-codon position. Lineage: Bacteria; Pseudomonadati; Fidelibacterota. The record is from RNAcentral.